Molecule: long non-coding RNA, 1080 nt
Organism: Vitis vinifera (wine grape)
Lineage: Eukaryota; Viridiplantae; Streptophyta; Magnoliopsida; Vitales; Vitaceae
Exons: 2
Source: RefSeq, a predicted model, not a curated record
UCUACACCAUCCAGCUUUGGUCACAUGGGAGGUGCUCCACUAUUACGAUAAAAGCCUUGUCUAAUCCUCGACUACCUCAAAACAAGAUCCGCUGAGUGGGCGACAACCUGAUCCGCCUCCUCGCAUAACAACCAUUCCUCGAUAGCCGGCCCCACCAAUGCCGCCGCUCCACCCACGUUUCACAUGAUAAGCCAAGCCCAAACCCAAACCCAAGCCGACGGCAAACCAAAGCCAACCGACCCUAUCUCCCUAUCUGCCUAUCUACUUUCGAGAAGCACAAGCAACAACCCAACGACGCAUUGAAUCAAUGGCGAGACAUAUCCAUUCGGCCGCUGUUUCCGCGGUCACAUCUGAUGACGUGUCAAACUAUGCCCCGUCCUCGAUCUCCAAACUCCCCUUCCUGCCCUUCUCUCCACGUCUCUACGUGUCAUUUCUUUUGUCUUUAUUAUUUUUUUAAUGCUAUUUAAGCGCCAAAGGCCCAUCCAUGGAUACGCUGGCCAAGGUGGGGCCACGUGUAAAGCGGAAAGUAUUGAAGCAAGUCACAUGAUGCAGGAGAUGGUUUCGGUAUGUCUACCUAUGUCCUGCUUUGCACGUUUCACGAGGAAGGGCAACUGCAUGAUGGGGAAAAUAGGGGAGUGACAGCGAGGGGUAGAGGCGCGACGAGCAGUAUCCCGAGGAAAAGCCAAAAAAAAUAAAAGGAAAUGGAUUUAUUUGAAUGCACGUUGGAUGCUUUGCAGCGGCGCUGGUGGGAACGUGUCUGGCGUUGAGAUGGCUCCAUCACACGCCCCCUUCAGCUUUGAUCCGCGCAACCUGCACGCCUUGCUGUACGGUCCACUUUCCCUUUUGUGUGUCAAGUUCGUGUUUGAGGAGCGUGGGUCCUGUUUAAAUAUCAAGGGUUCAGACACCUCCGUAUUAUUUUAUUACUUUUAGAUGUUUCAUUUGACCGGGGGGCAGUACUUGGGUCGGUAUACAGUCUGGAAGCAUUUCUCAUGUGUUGCCAUGUGUUGCUUGGGAAGGAGCCUGGAAUAUAUAUAUAUAUAUUUUUUUAAUGAACAAAAAAUUGGAUAAAUUUUCUGAAAA